This 76-nucleotide transfer RNA is filed under the name Bacillota bacterium. RNAcentral's name for it is "Firmicutes bacterium (anaerobic digester metagenome) tRNA-Ala". It matches the Rfam family "tRNA". From Rfam's summary of the family: Transfer RNA (tRNA) molecules are approximately 80 nucleotides in length. Their secondary structure includes four short double-helical elements and three loops (D, anti-codon, and T loops). Lineage: Bacteria; Bacillati; Bacillota. The record is from RNAcentral.
GGGCCUGUAGCUCAGCUGGGAGAGCGCCGCGUUCGCAACGCGGAGGUCGAGGGUUCGAAUCCCUUCGGGUCCACCA